Prosopis cineraria is the source of this 1531-nucleotide RNA transcript. RefSeq lists it as uncharacterized. The transcript is spliced from 2 exons. The record is from RefSeq and is a predicted model, not a curated record. NCBI's taxonomy places the organism in Eukaryota, Viridiplantae, Streptophyta, Magnoliopsida, Fabales, Fabaceae.
CGUGCAAGGCAUCACGGAAGGAAACGCGAGUUCAUCAAAUAGAAAAGCCCUCUGAAAUCAUGUUUAAAAGAAGUUUCAUUAAAAAAAUUUGCUUCUUUACAUGCAAACUUUCAAUCAUUCCACCCCUUUAUCCUAUCUCACAUGGGUUUGUUGUUCUCGCUGUCUCUUCAUCAAUCUCUGGCUCUUUCUUGAGAAGACACAGCAGAGAAACUGAAUAUGGCAGUGCCGUGGAGCAUGAGUCUCUGGAUGGCGAAGAUGGUGUGGAUUGCUUUGAGUGGGUGGGUAUCUUCGUGCCUGACUGUUGCUGACGAGGUCGCUAGUUCUCUUCGAUCCGGUGAUAUUGGUCCCUUCAAUGUUGGAUGAUUCAAAAACCUAAUUCACUGUUCACCUUUGCCUCGGUUCUGGUUCGUCUCGCGAAGUCAUUUUUAUACUCUUUCGUAAUCGGUUUUAUCUGUUUCUGAAACCAUAGUUGUUUAAUUAGCAAAAGGAUUUAUUAAACAAAUUGGCCGUGCUUCCUUUCCCCUCUACAUAUCUGUUUUUGCAUCCUAUUAUUUCUGAAUUGGCUGUCAGAUGGAAGCUAAUAUAUUAUAUUGCAUUCUUGGUGAAGUAUUAGAAGGUGAUAUGGUUGCAGAAUAUUAGAGCGGUGAUUCAUUUAGUUCAGAUGGAUUGCUUGGGGGAAAAGGGUAUAAAUCAACGAUCAGGUAUUAUAGGACAUUGUACGAAACUGGUUGGAGGGAAGAGUAUUUGAUUAAAGGAACACUGGACAUGACAGCUCUAGAUAAUUCUGGGGUUCUUGUCUUAGCUUAGCUAUCAUGUAUAGUUUUUUUUUAAAAAAAAAAAUUAAAAUCAAGGAUCGAACCAAUUCCAUGACGUCCUCACUGGCAUCACCCCGCCCUUGCUUGAGCUUUGCCAAGGCGAGGGGCAAUCUUUUGAGAUUGAAUGCGUAUAGAAACUCUCAUGACCAAUUUAGGUCAUGAUUUGAAGAUUUUGGCGGCAGCAUCAAGUUGGUCCAUAUUUAUGACAUGUUCCUCUUAACCAAGAGGUUUAACUCCCCAAUGACCAUGUACAAAGAAGGUUGGAAUGAUUCAACUUUGGAACUAUGCUGUGCCCAGUUGAUUAGAUGUGUGGAUACUUUUGCAAUCAGCACAUCAUUAUAAACUUAAAGUCAGUACGAAUUUAGAGGUUCUUACCUGGAGUUCUUGAAUCAGUUCUGUGGAGGCUACGGAAAGAAGGGGAUAAGAUUCAUGUUCUAAAACGUCGCCUUCAAUUCCAGUGUCAGUCUUUUUUGGCCAAAACAAAAAAAUCCAGUGUCAGUCUGGUGUAGAGAUCUCACUUCUUCUUCUCUGUUUUUUUUCCCCCUCGAUAGCCAUAUGAUUUGAUAUGAACUAUUCCGCGGACUUGAAACCGUACUUGUAGGAUUACUCUAGUGAUGGAGUUUCCAGAUGGUACAAUCUGUAUAUAUAUGUCUCCGGCAAGGGGGGCAAAAGCACACUUAUUUGUGAAAACAGUUUUGAGCAUCGGGUUUCCCUUA